GAUGAACGCUGGCGGCGUGCCUAAUACAUGCAAGUCGAGCGAACGGACGAGAAGCUUGCUUCUCUGAUGUUAGCGGCGGACGGGUGAGUAACACGUGGAUAACCUACCUAUAAGACUGGGAUAACUUCGGGAAACCGGAGCUAAUACCGGAUAAUAUUUUGAACCGCAUGGUUCAAAAGUGAAAGACGGUCUUGCUGUCACUUAUAGAUAGAUCCGCGCUGCAUUAGCUAGUUGGUAAGGUAACGGCUUACCAAGGCAACGAUGCAUAGCCGACCUGAGAGGGUGAUCGGCCACACUGGAACUGGGACACGGUCCAGACUCCUACGGGAGGCAGCAGUAGGGAAUCUUCCGCAAUGGGCGAAAGCCUGACGGAGCAACGCCGCGUGAGUGAUGAAGGUCUUCGGAUCGUAAAACUCUGUUAUUAGGGAAGACCAUAUGUGUAAGUAACUGUGCACAUCUUGACGGUACCUAAUCAGAAAGCCACGGCUAACUACGUG
Molecule: ribosomal RNA, 497 nt
Filed under: uncultured bacterium
Lineage: Bacteria
Description: partial 16S ribosomal RNA
Rfam family: Bacterial small subunit ribosomal RNA
Source: RNAcentral